GAUGAACGCUAGCGACAGGCCUAACACAUGCAAGUCGAGGGGCAGCACAUGAGUAGCAAUACGAUGGUGGCGACCGGCGCACGGGUGAGUAACACGUAUGCAACCUGCCUGUAAGCGGGGGAUAACCCGGAGAAAUUCGGACUAAUACCGCAUAAUACUGUGAAUUUGCAUGAAUUUACAGUUAAAUAUUUAUAGCUUACAGAUGGGCAUGCGUAUGAUUAGAUAGUUGGUAGGGUAACGGCCUACCAAGUCAACGAUCAUUAGGGGUUCUGAGAGGAAGGUCCCCCACACUGGUACUGAGACACGGACCAGACUCCUACGGGAGGCAGCAGUGAGGAAUAUUGGUCAAUGGGCGAGAGCCUGAACCAGCCAAGUCGCGUGAAGGAAGACGGUUCUAUGAAUUGUAAACUUCUUUUGUAGAGGAAUAAAGUGGGUUACGUGUAGCCUUUUGUAUGUACUUUACGAAUAAGGAUCGGCUAACUCCGUG
RNAcentral lists this ribosomal RNA (487 nucleotides) under uncultured bacterium. Its description in RNAcentral is "bacterial SSU rRNA". It matches the Rfam family "Bacterial small subunit ribosomal RNA", at positions 28 to 507 of the family's 1533-position model. The record is from RNAcentral.